RNAcentral lists this ribosomal RNA (1524 nucleotides) under Enterococcus durans. RNAcentral describes it as "bacterial SSU rRNA". It matches the Rfam family "Bacterial small subunit ribosomal RNA". The record is from RNAcentral. Lineage: Bacteria; Bacillati; Bacillota; Bacilli; Lactobacillales; Enterococcaceae.
GAGUUUGAUCCUGGCUCAGGACGAACGCUGGCGGUGUGCCUAAUACAUGCAAGUCGUACGCUUCUUUUUCCACCGGAGCUUGCUCCACCGGAAAAAGAAGAGUGGCGAACGGGUGAGUAACACGUGGGUAACCUGCCCAUCAGAAGGGGAUAACACUUGGAAACAGGUGCUAAUACCGUAUAACAAUCGAAACCGCAUGGUUUUGAUUUGAAAGGCGCUUUCGGGUGUCGCUGAUGGAUGGACCCGCGGUGCAUUAGCUAGUUGGUGAGGUAACGGCUCACCAAGGCCACGAUGCAUAGCCGACCUGAGAGGGUGAUCGGCCACAUUGGGACUGAGACACGGCCCAAACUCCUACGGGAGGCAGCAGUAGGGAAUCUUCGGCAAUGGACGAAAGUCUGACCGAGCAACGCCGCGUGAGUGAAGAAGGUUUUCGGAUCGUAAAACUCUGUUGUUAGAGAAGAACAAGGAUGAGAGUAACUGUUCAUCCCUUGACGGUAUCUAACCAGAAAGCCACGGCUAACUACGUGCCAGCAGCCGCGGUAAUACGUAGGUGGCAAGCGUUGUCCGGAUUUAUUGGGCGUAAAGCGAGCGCAGGCGGUUUCUUAAGUCUGAUGUGAAAUCCCCCGGCUCAACCGGGGAGGGUCAUUGGAAACUGGGAGACUUGAGUGCAGAAGAGGAGAGUGGAAUUCCAUGUGUAGCGGUGAAAUGCGUAGAUAUAUGGAGGAACACCAGUGGCGAAGGCGGCUCUCUGGUCUGUAACUGACGCUGAGGCUCGAAAGCGUGGGGAGCAAACAGGAUUAGAUACCCUGGUAGUCCACGCCGUAAACGAUGAGUGCUAAGUGUUGGAGGGUUUCCGCCCUUCAGUGCUGCAGCUAACGCAUUAAGCACUCCGCCUGGGGAGUACGACCGCAAGGUUGAAACUCAAAGGAAUUGACGGGGGCCCGCACAAGCGGUGGAGCAUGUGGUUUAAUUCGAAGCAACGCGAAGAACCUUACCAGGUCUUGACAUCCUUUGACCACUCUAGAGAUAGAGCUUCCCCUUCGGGGGCAAAGUGACAGGUGGUGCAUGGUUGUCGUCAGCUCGUGUCGUGAGAUGUUGGGUUAAGUCCCGCAACGAGCGCAACCCUUAUUGUUAGUUGCCAUCAUUCAGUUGGGCACUCUAGCAAGACUGCCGGUGACAAACCGGAGGAAGGUGGGGAUGACGUCAAAUCAUCAUGCCCCUUAUGACCUGGGCUACACACGUGCUACAAUGGGAAGUACAACGAGUCGCGAAGUCGCGAGGCUAAGCUAAUCUCUUAAAGCUUCUCUCAGUUCGGAUUGUAGGCUGCAACUCGCCUACAUGAAGCCGGAAUCGCUAGUAAUCGCGGAUCAGCACGCCGCGGUGAAUACGUUCCCGGGCCUUGUACACACCGCCCGUCACACCACGAGAGUUUGUAACACCCGAAGUCGGUGAGGUAACCUUUUGGAGCCAGCCGCCUAAGGUGGGAUAGAUGAUUGGGGUGAAGUCGUAACAAGGUAGCCGUAG